Molecule: non-coding RNA, 80 nt
Organism: Podarcis lilfordi (Lilford's wall lizard)
Lineage: Eukaryota; Metazoa; Chordata; Lepidosauria; Squamata; Lacertidae
Source: the annotation of a GenBank genome assembly
GCGGAAAUAGGUUAGUUGGUUAGACCAUGGUUCGGAUAAUGCCAAGGUUGCAGGUUUGAUCCCUGUAUGGGACAGCUGCA